CCUAAUGGCGGCAAAAUUGUUCCAUUUGACCAACAUGAUUUCAAUUUGAGAAAUGGUUCAACCUGCUUUUUUCCAAUACGAAUUUCACUGUCUUUUAAUUAACGAUAACAAAACAGAAUCUCGAAUGGGAUCUGGCAACUUUGAAGGAGCAGGGAAAUGAACACACAAAAGGUGCCUGUCCUCUUCCAGAGAAGGUGUUGGUGUUUGCAAGUUUUGAUUUAGCACGACAAUAAAAAUGUUUAAAAAAAAUGCUUCCUUGGACUUUUAU
Long non-coding RNA from Culex pipiens pallens (northern house mosquito), 268 nucleotides. RefSeq lists it as uncharacterized. The transcript is spliced from 4 exons. The record is from RefSeq and is a predicted model, not a curated record. Lineage: Eukaryota; Metazoa; Arthropoda; Insecta; Diptera; Culicidae.